UUGUCUCAAAGAUUAAGCCAUGCAUGUCUAAGUAUAAGCAAUUAUACAGCGAAACUGCGAAUGGCUCAUUAUAUAAGUUAUCGUUUAUUUGAUAGUACCUUACUACUUGGAUAACCGUGGUAAUUCUAGAGCUAAUACAUGCUAAAAAUCCCGACUUCGGAAGGGAUGUAUUUAUUAGAUUAAAAACCAAUGCCCUCUGGGCUCUCUGGUGAUUCAUGAUAACUUCUCGAAUCGCAUGGCCUUGCGCCGGCGAUGGUUCAUUCAAAUUUCUUCCCUAUCAACUUUCGAUGUUUGGGUAGUGGCCAAACAUGGUUGCAACGGGUAACGGAGGGUUAGGGCUCGACCCCGGAGAAGGAGCCUGAGAAACGGCUACUACAUCCAAGGAAGGCAGCAGGCGCGCAAAUUACCCAAUCCCGAUUCGGGGAGGUAGUGACAAUAAAUACUGAUACAGGGCUCUUUUGGGUCUUGUAAUUGGAAUGAGUACAAUUUAAAUCCCUUAACGAGGAACAAUUGGAGGGCAAGUCUGGUGCCAGCAGCCGCGGUAAUUCCAGCUCCAAUAGCGUAUAUUAAAGUUGUUGUGGUUAAAAAGCUCGUAGUUGAACCUUGGGCCUGGUUGGCCGGUCCGCCUCACCGCGUGUACUGGUCCGGCCGGGCCUUUCCCUCUGUGGAACCCCAUGCCCUUCACUGGGUGUGGCGGGGAAACAGGACUUUUACUUUGAAAAAAUUAGAGUGCUCCAGGCAGGCCUAUGCUCGAAUACAUUAGCAUGGAAUAAUAAAAUAGGACGUGCGGUUCUAUUUUGUUGGUUUCUAGGACCGCCGUAAUGAUUAAUAGGGACAGUCGGGGGCAUCAGUAUUCAAUUGUCAGAGGUGAAAUUCUUGGAUUUAUUGAAGACUAACUACUGCGAAAGCAUUUGCCAAGGAUGUUUUCAUUAAUCAGGAACGAAAGUUAGGGGAUCGAAGACGAUCAGAUACCGUCGUAGUCUUAACCAUAAACUAUGCCGACUAGGGAUCGGACGAUGUUAUUUUUUGACUCGUUCGGCACCUUACGAGAAAUCAAAGUGCUUGGGCUCCAGGGGGAGUAUGGUCGCAAGGCUGAAACUUAAAGG
This 1106-nucleotide ribosomal RNA is filed under the name Metapochonia bulbillosa. RNAcentral describes it as "SSU rRNA". It matches the Rfam family "Eukaryotic small subunit ribosomal RNA", at positions 32 to 1150 of the family's 1831-position model. Lineage: Eukaryota; Fungi; Ascomycota; Sordariomycetes; Hypocreales; Clavicipitaceae. RNAcentral also lists the same sequence under 1 other name. The record is from RNAcentral.